Molecule: ribosomal RNA, 427 nt
Filed under: uncultured bacterium
Lineage: Bacteria
Description: bacterial SSU rRNA
Rfam family: Bacterial small subunit ribosomal RNA
Source: RNAcentral
UGGGGAAUUUUGGACAAUGGACGCAAGUCUGAUCCAGCCAUGCCGCGUGCGGGAAGAAGGCCUUCGGGUUGUAAACCGCUUUUGUCAGGGAAGAAACGAGUUUCUCUAAUACAGGGACCUAAUGACGGUACCUGAAGAAUAAGCACCGGCUAACUACGUGCCAGCAGCCGCGGUAAUACGUAGGGUGCAAGCGUUAAUCGGAAUUACUGGGCGUAAAGCGUGCGCAGGCGGUUAUAUAAGACAGAUGUGAAAUCCCCGGGCUCAACCUGGGAACUGCAGUUGUGACUGUAUAGCUAGAGUACGGCAGAGGGGGAUGGAAUUCCGCGUGUAGCAGUGAAAUGCGUAGAUAUGCGGAGGAACACCGAUGGCGAAGGCAAUCCCCUGGGCCUGUACUGACGCUCAUGCACGAAAGCGUGGGGAGUAAACA